RNAcentral lists this long non-coding RNA (799 nucleotides) under Erythranthe guttata (spotted monkey flower). RNAcentral's name for it is "long non-coding RNA (EGUT_LNC000347)". Lineage: Eukaryota; Viridiplantae; Streptophyta; Magnoliopsida; Lamiales; Phrymaceae. The record is from RNAcentral.
UCUGACUGGCCGCUCUUGGCUAGGUCAACUUCUAAACAUGUACAUCAUUACCUGCAUCAUAAGAACCUAAUGAGCUAAUAGCACAGCAAGUUGAAACUGAUGUAAUAACAAUCUAUCACAUAACACGUUAUUCAUUCAAUAUGUACAAUAUCACAUAUAACUUCAUUCAUGAUCCUUUUCUUUGAAAUCCUUCUCUUUAUCGGGUACCCUUAAAGUGUGGUACUUGACUGAUCGCAAUAGGCUUUCGUUUGCGGAACCUGUUCAUUAUAUUUGCCCAAUAGAUAAUACGGGGUUUCCAUACCGGCCUUUUGACCUCAGAUAUUAGCCGUAUUUUAUUUCAUUAAUUGUGGGUUUUCCAUACUGGUCUUUCGACCUCAGGUAUUUGCCACCAUGUGUUGGGUCCGCCGGUCCCUCCCGCGUCCCUUGCCUACCCGACCAUCAAUCAAGCACCAUACUCCCAUUUUCAAAACAUGUUAUUUCAUAUCACUAUGACUCAUCAAUCAUUCAAACAUCAUGAAGAACACGUAGCAAAAGUCACAUUAAAGCACACAUAAUUGGUUCUUAUGAUGAGCAAAUGAAAGCUUCAACUUACCUCAAGUUCAAUAGGGUGUAUAAAGUGAAAGGAUCAGAGGUGUGCUAGAAGCCUUGAUUAGAGAUGAACUCAAACUUCAAAACGUAGGAUUUUCAGCUAGAAAAGGUGCAGAACUUGUUCUAGCUCUACUUCUAUGAGUUCUUAUGAUUUGAUGUUCUCUUAUGUGAGUAUGGAAGUGAAGAAAUAUGAAGAGAAGCUUAAGGAAAU